Molecule: ribosomal RNA, 774 nt
Filed under: uncultured Neocallimastigales
Lineage: Eukaryota; Fungi; Neocallimastigomycota; Neocallimastigomycetes; Neocallimastigales
Description: partial large subunit ribosomal RNA
Rfam family: Eukaryotic large subunit ribosomal RNA
Source: RNAcentral
CGCAUCUGUGCAUGCAGCAUAUCAAUAAGCGGAGGAAAAGAAACUAACAAGGAUUCCCCUAGUAACGGCGAGUGAAGCGGGAAGAGCUCAAAUUUGAAAUCUUAAAGGGUUUCCCUUUACGAAUUGUAGUUUAAAGAAGUGUUUUCUGUUGAGGUUUUGGUAAAAGUUCUUUGGAAUAGGACAUCAUAGAGGGUGAGAAUCCCGUAUUUGACCUUUACUUUCAACUUUGUGAUACACUUUCAAAGAGUCGGAUUGUUUGGGAAUGCAGUCCAAAAUGGGUGGUAAAUUUCAUCUAAAGCUAAAUAUUGGCGAGAGACCGAUAGCGAACAAGUACCGUGAGGGAAAGAUGAAAAGAACUUUGAAAAGAGAGUUAAACAGUACGUGAAAUUGUCAAAAGGGAAGCGUUUGACACCAGUGUUGUUUUUCUGAAAAUCAAUUAAAGAACUGUUUAUGCUAAGUUGUUUAGGCUUUAUCAGCUAUCUGCUUAGUUUUGAGCUUUUCUUUAAUGCACUUUUCAGUUAACAAGUCAACAUCAAUUUCUUUUGCUGUAAAAAAGCUUGAGGAAGGUGGCUUGAGAUUCGUCUUAAGUGUUUAUAGCCUCUUGCCUAUGCAGUCGGAGAGAUUGAGGUCUGCAGCGUAGAUCCUUCGGGGCUAAAUGCAUUUGUGCUAAGUUAUAGCAUUUUAUAGACAACUUGUUGACUAUGAUUUGUCUUGUAGCUUACUCGCUUAUGUUAUUUUACCUACGCUUAGGAUGUUGAGUCGUAGAGCACGCAG